CCGUACGGUGAAACCGCGAAAGGCUCAUUAAAUCAGUUAUGGUUCCUUAGAUAGUACCCACGUUACUUGGAUAACUGUGGUAAUUCUAGAGCUAAUACAUGCCUAUUGAGUUCCGACCGGGGUCGUGUCGGUUUCGGCUGGCGCGACGUUCGGGAGGAGCGCUUUUAUUAGAUCAAAACCGGCCGAGCGGCCGCUCUUUCGGGCGGCCGUAAGGGGCCCGCGCAAUGACUUGACGACUCUGAAUAACUUCGAGCUGAUCGCACGGUCUUUGUACCGGCGACGUAUCUUUCAAAUGUCUGCCUUAUCAACUGUCGACGGUAAGUUAGAUGCUUACCGUGGUGGUAACGGGUAACGGGGAAUCAGGGUUCGAUUCCGGAGAGGGAGCCUGAGAAACGGCUACCACAUCCAAGGAAGGCAGCAGGCGCGCAAAUUACCCACUCCCAGCUCGGGGAGGUAGUGACGA
Molecule: ribosomal RNA, 463 nt
Filed under: Kuwanina betula
Lineage: Eukaryota; Metazoa; Arthropoda; Insecta; Hemiptera; Eriococcidae
Description: bacterial SSU rRNA
Rfam family: Eukaryotic small subunit ribosomal RNA
Source: RNAcentral